AGAGUUUGAUCCUGGCUCAGAGCGAACGCUGGCGGCAGGCCUAACACAUGCAAGUCGAGCGGCCGUAGCAAUACGGCAGCGGCAGACGGGAGAGUAACACGUGGGAACGCGCCCUUCGGUUCGGAAUAACUCAGGGAAACUUGGGCUAAUACCGGAUACGCCCUAACGGGGAAAGAUUUAUUGCCGAAGGAACGGCCCGCGUCCGAUUAGCUUGUUGGUGAGGUAACGGCUCACCAAGGCGACGAUCGGUAGCUGGUCUGAGAGGAUGACCAGCCUCACUGGGACUGAGACACGGCCCAGACUCCUACGGGAGGCAGCAGUGGGGAAUAUUGGACAAUGGGCGCAAGCCUGAUCCAGCCAUGCCGCGUGGGUGAUGAAGGCCCUAGGGUUGUAAAGCCCUUUCAGCGGGGAAGAUAAUGACGGUACCCGCAGAAGAAGC
This 439-nucleotide ribosomal RNA is filed under the name uncultured bacterium. RNAcentral describes it as "bacterial SSU rRNA". It matches the Rfam family "Bacterial small subunit ribosomal RNA", at positions 8 to 491 of the family's 1533-position model. The record is from RNAcentral.